GCAGUCGGACGGUCUGUCGCUUGUCUUUUCGGAGACGGGAGGAAAGUCCGGGCAACACAGAGCGCCAUUCUUCCUAACGGGAAGUUAUUCGCGAGGGUAAGGUAGCGUAACAGAAAAUAACCGCCAUGCUCUAUGGCACGGUAAGGGUGAAAAGGCGAGGUAAAAGCUCACCGCUUGUGUAGUAAUACGCAAGGCUGUACGUCCAAUGGGUUGUAAGGUCAUGUACACCGGCGCAAGAGGGCUGCUCGUCCAAUGCCGGGGGGUAGACCGCACGAACACACCGGUGACGGUGCGUCCAGAUAAAUGACAGACAUUCCGAUACUUCGGAAUACAGAACCCGGCUUACAGGCCGGCUGCAUCU
This 361-nucleotide RNase P RNA is filed under the name Tannerella sp. RNAcentral describes it as "RNase P RNA component class A". It matches the Rfam family "Bacterial RNase P class A". From Rfam's summary of the family: Ribonuclease P (RNase P) is a ubiquitous endoribonuclease, found in archaea, bacteria and eukarya as well as chloroplasts and mitochondria. Its best characterised activity is the generation of mature 5'-ends of tRNAs by cleaving the 5'-leader elements of precursor-tRNAs. Cellular RNase Ps are ribonucleoproteins. The record is from RNAcentral. Lineage: Bacteria; Pseudomonadati; Bacteroidota; Bacteroidia; Bacteroidales; Tannerellaceae.